Molecule: ribosomal RNA, 496 nt
Filed under: uncultured bacterium
Lineage: Bacteria
Description: partial 16S ribosomal RNA
Rfam family: Bacterial small subunit ribosomal RNA
Source: RNAcentral
GAUGAACGCUGGCGGCGUGCCUAAUACAUGCAAGUCGAGCGAACAGAUAAGGAGCUUGCUCCUUUGACGUUAGCGGCGGACGGGUGAGUAACACGUGGGUAACCUACCUAUAAGACUGGAAUAACUCCGGGAAACCGGGGCUAAUGCCGGAUAACAUUUAGAACCGCAUGGUUCUAAAGUGAAAGAUGGUUUUGCUAUCACUUAUAGAUGGACCCGUGCCGUAUUAGCUAGUUGGUAAGGUAACGGCUUACCAAGGCAACGAUACGUAGCCGACCUGAAAGGGUGAUCGGCCACACUGGAACUGAGACCCGGUCCAGACUCCUACGGGAGGCAGCAGUAGGGAAUCUUCCGCAAUGGGCGAAAGCCUGACGGAGCAACGCCGCGUGAGUGAUGAAGGUCUUCGGAUCGUAAAACUCUGUUAUUAGGGAAGAACAAAUGUGUAAGUAACUGUGCACGUCUUGACGGUACCUAAUCAGAAAGCCACGGCUAACUACGU